Molecule: long non-coding RNA, 1864 nt
Organism: Teleopsis dalmanni
Lineage: Eukaryota; Metazoa; Arthropoda; Insecta; Diptera; Diopsidae
Exons: 8
Source: RefSeq, a predicted model, not a curated record
UUGUUGUCGAAAAAUUUUUCAAAAAUCAAAAUUUUUGGUUUGUUUUUUUUACUAAUCGUGCUUUUUUGAAAAAUCAAGACAAAAGUUAGUUAGUCAUAAUUGGCGCAAUGGAUCCAUCUGACCCCGAUAGAGCCUUUCAUAUACCUCUGCAUGAUGCAAUAAGCGUUUUCUACAAUGGCAAUUUUGGUCGUGCAUUGUUACCAUCGCAAAAUAUCAGCAACUACCUUAUGAUAAUAAUAUCGCAUGCUGCCGAGCCGGAGCUGCGUGAGGUUAGCAUUUUUGAAAGAAGCAUGCAUGUUCCCCAGCUAAUUCAGAGCAUAAGAUGCCGGCAGCUAGAUAUUGAUUUAUUUUUGCGUCUCAACCACUUCCCAGCGGCCACCGUGGUUCAUAACCACGGAUACAUUCCACAACCGAUUAUACUUCAGAUGGCUCAAACAAUCAAUAACGGAGGCCUCCCGCAUAAUUUACAUUAAAAAAAGAAGAACGACAGGGAGUAGAGGGUGGGUCAAGACAUUGAAACAUAUGUCUCAUGAUAAGUUGGACAUGCGAAACUAACCGCAAGUAUAUGUGUGUCGUUCCUUUCAAAAAAAAAGAAAAUGUAAACAUUUAAGAGGAUUGUUACAAUAAGUAAAAUGACACCUAGCAUUGUGUUUUCAAAAGCUUGCAAUGCACCUUUUGCAACAAUGACUGAAUAUCGGAUCUCUCAUUUGGUGUUAUUUGACUUUCAGCAGAAUCUUAAGGUAAUGAGUUGAAGGAUCAACAUCUGAACAUUUGGCUUACGAAUUUUUUGAACCAUCAUCCACAACAUGCUGCAGGUCUGUGUUGGUACUGCUAUAAAGUGUGAUUAUUUGGAAACAACAUUUUUCCGGAAGUAAACAAUAUGUUCCUUUACAUAUAAGUACUUUGAUGGCAUCUGAGCUAUUUAAACAUCGUCACUUAAGCCAUGACGAGGCUAUGAUGUCUAAUAUAUAGUGGACCAACCAAGGGCAAUUCAAGACCAUAAUCGAAUUUAAAAUUACAAGCCCAUAUUACUUCGGAACUAUGGAAGGACCUACAGCAAAUCAACAUGAAUGGCAUAUGGUAUAUGAUAUGCUCCUGAGGUUAAUAUGUGUGGAUUUAAUACAAGACAUAUGAGUACGCUCAUUACAAUUUUUUGUUUUAAAUCCCAUCUCAUUCGGGAAUAUGGAAGAACCUACAGCAAAUCAACAUGAAUGGCAUGUGUUAUAUGGUAUAUGAUAUGCUCCAGAGGUUUUCCCAUCUUAUUCGGGAAUAUGGAAGGACCUACAGCAAAUCAAUAUGAAUGGUAUAUGUUAUAUGGUAUAUAAUAUGCUCCAGAGGUUUAUAUAUGUGGAUUUAAUGCAAGACAUAUGAGUACGCUUCUCACAAUUUUUUGUUUUAAGUCCCAUCUCAUUCGGGAAUAUGGAAGGACCUACAGCAAAUGAACAUAAAUGGUAUAUGUUAUAUGGUAUAUGAUAUGCUCCAGAGUCCCAUCUUAUUCGGGAAUAUGGAAGGACCUACAGCAAAUCAAUAUGAAUGGUAUAUGUUAUAUGGUAUAUAAUAUGCUCCAGAGGUUUAUAUAUGUGGAUUUAAUGCAAGACAUAUGAGUACGCUUCUCACAAUUUUUUGUUUUAAGUCCCAUCUCAUUCGGGAAUAUGGAAGGACCUACAGCAAAUGAACAUAAAUGGUAUAUGUUAUAUGGUAUAUGAUAUGCUCCAGAGGUUUAUAUGUGUGGAUUUAAUGCAAGAUAUAUGACUACGUUCAACACAAUUUUUUGUUUUAAAUCUCUCCAUGGCUUUAGAAUUAUUAAUAUAUUUGUUAUUGAUACAAAUUGGUUUUAUAAAACCAAUUGUUAGAUAUACUCACU